Long non-coding RNA from Fundulus heteroclitus (mummichog), 188 nucleotides. RefSeq lists it as uncharacterized. The record is from RefSeq and is a predicted model, not a curated record. NCBI's taxonomy places the organism in Eukaryota, Metazoa, Chordata, Actinopteri, Cyprinodontiformes, Fundulidae. The transcript has 3 exons.
CCUUGACAGACACGUUCACAACAUCUCAGGUGUCUCCAACAGGACAGAAGAUCAAGACUAAACCCAGAAAUUCCUGGUUCUGUUGCUUGGUUUCUUCAACACAAUGAGAGCUAAUCUGUUUGUCGCUGCACUCUGCCUCCUGGGUACAGUAAUCCUGUGCCAAGCGGACACAACACCACGUCCAACUU